GCCUAGCCAUAAACUUUGACCCACAUCCGCCCGAGUACUACGAGCAACAGCUUAAAACUCAAAGGACUUGGCGGUGCUCUACACCCCCUAGAGGAGCCUGUUCUAUAAUCGAUAAUCCACGAUAAACCUCACCGCUUAUUGCCAAUACAGCCUAUAUACCACCGUCCAGCCCACCCUUUAAAGGGUAAAAAGUAGGCAAAAUUAUAUACAUAAGAACGUCAGGUCAAGGUGUAGCAAAUAAAGCGGGAAGAAAUGGGCUACAUUUUCUAACCUAGAAAACACGGAAAAGUCUAUGAAACAAGACUACGAAGGAGGAUUUAGCAGUAAAAAGAAAAAAGAGCGUUCUUUUUAAACC
Molecule: ribosomal RNA, 355 nt
Filed under: Triturus carnifex (Italian crested newt)
Lineage: Eukaryota; Metazoa; Chordata; Amphibia; Caudata; Salamandridae
Description: partial 12S ribosomal RNA
Rfam family: Bacterial small subunit ribosomal RNA
Source: RNAcentral